AGAUCGAACUAUAGAGUUUGAUCCUGGCUCAGAUUGAACGCUGGCGGCAUGCUUUACACAUGCAAGUCGAACGGUA
RNAcentral lists this ribosomal RNA (76 nucleotides) under Comamonas thiooxydans. RNAcentral's name for it is "partial 16S ribosomal RNA". It matches the Rfam family "Bacterial small subunit ribosomal RNA", at positions 1 to 71 of the family's 1533-position model. Lineage: Bacteria; Pseudomonadati; Pseudomonadota; Betaproteobacteria; Burkholderiales; Comamonadaceae. The record is from RNAcentral.